CUGUAGGAUACGUGAUGAUAAACUUGGUCAUGUGACCCACAGGCAUGCACCGUGCAAGACUCCGACGCUCCAGAGGCAAAGCAGGCCGGUACUCGAUCUGAGCUGGAAGAAUGACAGGAAGUGGGAGGAGUCAGUCAGGGGUUAGGACUUAAUAUUUUGUUAAAAAUAACAUAUAAACAUGGACCAAUCCCGUCUCUCUGGAGAUGGGGAUUAAGGUUUAAGAGUGGAACUGUGUAUUAGAUGUGAUUUGGAUGAUGCGAUCGUUCCAGUCCUCGGGUCCUGAGAGAAGCGAUGCCCUCUGAGGCGAGUGCGCUGUGGGAUGAUUUAAACAUGAGGUUCGCAAUGGUGAUAAACUGGUGGCUAUAAACCUCCCAGAUCUGUAAACUACGUUAGCAUCAUAUCCUGAAUGCAGAAUUACGGAAGCAAAUGUUGUGGAUCAAAUAUCUGAGAGGGACAGAGAGACAGAGGGAAAGUAAGGGAGAGAGAGACAGGGGGAAAGUAAGGGAGAGAGAGACAGGGGGAAAGUAAGGGAGAGAGAGACAGGGGGAAAGUAAGGGAGAGAGAGACAGGGGGAAGUAAGGAGAGAGAGACAGGGGGAAAGUAAGGGAGAGAGAGACAGGGGAAAGGUAAGGGAGAGAGAGAGAAGGGGAAAGUAAAUGAGAGUGAGACAGGGGGAAAGUAAGGGAGAGAGAGACAGGGGGAAAGUAAUGAGAAGAGAGACAGGGGGAAGUAAGUGAGAGAGAGACAGGGAGAAAGUAAGGGAGAGAGAGACAGGGGGAUAGUAAGUGAGAGAGAGACAGGGGGAAGUAAGUGAGAGAGAGACAGGGAGAAAGUAAGGGAGAGAGAGACAGGGGGAUAGUAAGUGAGAGAGAGACAGGGGGAAAGUAAGGGAGAGAGAGACAGGGGGUAAGUAAGGGAGAGAGAGACAGGGGGAUAGUAAGUGAGAGAGAGACAGGGGGAAGUAAGUGAGAGAGAGACAGGGAGAAAGUAAGGGAGAGAGAGACAGGGGGAUAGUAAGUGAGAGAGAGACAGGGGGAAAGUAAGGGAGAGAGAGACAGGGGGGUAAUAAGUGAGAGAGAGACAGGGGGAAAGUAAGUGAGGGACACAAGAGAAAGCGACAGUGAGAGACAGACAGACAGGCAUUGGAGAGAGAUACAAAAAGACAUAGAAAGGAAGAGGAGACCGCGAGAGGAGGGGAACACUGAGGGAGAGAAACGGAGAGAGAUGAGAGAGACACACAGAGAGACAAAGACAGACACAGAGAGAUACAGAAAAAGAAAGAGAUACACCGGGUGAGAAAGACUCCGAGAGAGAGAGAGACACGAGUGAAAGAGCCUGAGGAAAAAAACGGAGGAAAAAGAAACGGUGAAAAGACACAGAUGGAGAGAUAUGAUAGAUUCACCAGAGAGAGAGAGAGAGAGAGAGAGAGAGAGAGAGAGAGAGAGAGAGCUGCAGUAUGAGGACAUUAUGGUGUAUGAGAGCAGACGUCUCGCAGCACUCUGAUCAGCUCGUCUUAUCGAUCUGAGUGCCGCGCUCUCUCAUAAGACAGCACUCUGCUAAAUUG
Ictalurus punctatus (channel catfish) is the source of this 1564-nucleotide long non-coding RNA. Lineage: Eukaryota; Metazoa; Chordata; Actinopteri; Siluriformes; Ictaluridae. The record is from Ensembl.